Non-coding RNA from Leptonychotes weddellii (Weddell seal), 6492 nucleotides. Lineage: Eukaryota; Metazoa; Chordata; Mammalia; Carnivora; Phocidae. The record is from RefSeq and is a predicted model, not a curated record.
CGAGAGGCGCUUCAGAGACUGGAGGGACCGACCUGCAGGAGCCAGGGCUGCCCGCCGAGCUGCAGUUGCCGCUGCUGCCGCUGUCGCUGUCGCGCUGCCGCCGCCGCUGUCAGCGCCCCGCUGAAGAGUGACAGCUCCGCAAAAGCGGGAGGGAGCACGGAGCCCCGCGCCUCUACGAAACAGGUGCAUGCGCCGAUCUCCUGGUCAGUGGACCCAGCUCGCAAGGUAGCCAUUCAUGAGCCUAAGGCUGUGAGAAAUGCUCGCUGUGCAAAGGGGAACUCUCACCAGAUUUUCUGAAGCUGUCCUAGAAAUACACUUUUCAGAUUGAUUCCGCUUUACCAGCUUAUCCAACAAAAGUAUUAACAUAUACAUUAACAACGUCGAAAGUAGCCUACUUUAAGAGAAAAUAUGCAGAAGAAGAAGAUUUACAUCAAGAUUACCAUGGGUAUUUUCCAAAACACCUGAUAUUGCCUGAGGACAGGACUUGCAUUCUCAAACUUUCUCUGGAGAAGCUCAGGUUUCUUGAAGACCCAGAAACCUACUUAAGAAGGUCUGUGUUAAUUAACAAUUUGCUGAGGAAGAUACAUCUAGAGACGGAGAAAGAGAGCUAUGAAUACUUUAAAGAAGCUCCCUGUUAUAAGACUGCUUAUUCUGAUACAAGAAAACGGCUGAAGUUCAUGGUACAGGAAUGCUGUUCUCAGUCUCUUUAUUAUGAAGAGCUGCAUUCAUAUCAUAUUGUGCCUUAUGCUUCGGAGAAUGCCAUUUAUGGAAUGGGCUACACUAGCAGCCACUUGGAGCAAAAUUCUCAGCUGCUUAUUUAUAAAAUGAAUUAAAGUAACCGUUAAGUUCAUUGAUACUUUGUUUCUAAAUGCCUGAACUGUUUAUAGUGAAGAUGUUAAAAUAAGGCACUAAUUACCAGUGCACUUGAGAUCAAAGAUGACAUGCAUGCUGAACUGAGUGGAGAAAAGCCUGGUUAUUACUCAGCAGUCCUUAGUAUCAUCCAAAUUGAAAAUAUGUCCACAUAUUAUAAAGCGGCAAAUAAGUGCUUUACAGGCAAAGGUUUUUAUGCUCUUUUUAAGAUAAGAUGAUGUGUACAAGGAGACCUAUGUCAAGUUCUUAUACUGAUUUAAACUUUUAAGCCCACUGUUUCCAAAUUCUGCCACUCUUAGUGGAAAGUAACAAAAAAUGACAUUGAACUGAUAAUGUGGUGUCCUUGAAUAUUAAGGGUGGAAUGAAUUUUGUUUUCUGUAAACAAUGAGGGGAAGAUAGGUUCUUUCUGAAAAGCUUUCGCUUGUCAAGCAUUGUGCCAAAUAAUUGUUUGACACCAUUCUCCCUUACCGUUGGUAGCAAUUCAAGUUGGAGCAAACGUAUUGCAACUUAACUGCUGAAUGUAACAACCAGAUUACUCCAAACUGAUCCAUUUUAUUUUAUUUUAUUUUUUUAUUUUAUUUUAUUUUAUUUUAUUUUUGGCUUGAUAGACAUUUCUCUUAAAAGUAAAAUUUAAUAAAAUGAGCCUUGCAGAUAGGCUUAUCUGUAAGUUCUAGAGGUCAGUUAAAAUUUGUGGUGGGCUUUCAGUUAAGAGUUUACAUUUUAUUUAUGAUGUCAUUUUUACAGGCUGUGAGGCUCAGGAAAAGGGGAGGCAGGUCAAAUUUGUUUUUAAUAGGUUGAUAAUUUUAAAAAGUCGUAUCUGCAAAAAUUGGUGAAAACAACAGAAAUUCUACAUGAUGUUAUUUCUUCAUCGAAGAGUACAUUUAAGGCUGCCUGGAUGAAACUUUGCACUGAUUUUUGUAUAGUAGUUGACCAUUCACUAUUUUACAAAAUGUUUCAGAAUGCUUUUGGUGGUGAAGUUCAGAUAAGUCCCUAUAUUUUGCAAUUUGAAAGAUAAUUAUUUAACAAGUUGGAUAGAUCCCUGAAAUUAUUUGAAGUGGUUCAUAUGUUCUUUGAGGUUUGAGUGAGAUUUCAGUGUCUGGGGUUAUGUUCUGUGGAACAUAUCAUUUAAAGAAUUGUCAUUAAUUGAUAAAACAGAUUGGGAAACCUAGGUGCCAAAGGUAUAUUCAAGAAAAUACCAAAGACCCAAAGAUGAGUGUUAGAGAGACUAUGAUAAUGAAGAUAAGAAUCUAAAAUAAGGAUUGCAUAGGACAUAGAAGAACACUGUUAAAGGGUUUUGGAACGAUUUGCUUACUAAUGUGCUUUCAGAGCACUUUACAGGAAAUAAUGAAAAUCAAGGACACUGCUUUAAGUGAAGAUAUUACAGGCUUUCGGUGAUCAUAUGCUUUCACAAAUCUAAAUAUGGUGACUUGUCAACAUUGUUCCAUCCCUAGUUGAAUGCCAUCUUGUGACCAAGAAGUCUUUUUUUUAUUCAAGAGAAUUUUGUUUUUAGUUCCGAUUCACUAUUUGUUCCCUUUAAUUAAUCAUCAGGUCACUCACAUGGAUGUUUUUGGUAUAAAUAUUAGUGCCCUAAUUAGCAUGUGUUGUUGAAGAUUAUGUAGAUUUAUAAUUGAUAAAAGUAUCAGGUUUUUAUUUAAUUGCUCAAUCAGAAUUAUUAAAAAAUACUUUAGAACAAACUGAAAAAUUAUAAUUGGGGCUGAUUUUUAAAGGCAAUUUUGUUUGAAUGGUGAAAUAGCUUUGAAAUAGAUAUAAGUAUUUAAAAAUUAAUUUAAGGGGAAAAUUUGGCACCAAAGUUCAAAAACUUUGUUUCACUGCUUAUAAAAUACUUCAAGAGCACUUCUUUUAAAAAGGUUUCUUAAACAAUGAGGAUAUUAAUUGAAUAGACUCCAAAUUAGAUAGGAUAAUUAUACUACAUAUAAUUUAAAAAUAGAAUUAGCUCUCUAAUAGUUUUAACUUUUUCUUUUUCUUUUUACUGAGAGAAACAUUUGGUUUGCUUUAGUACAGUGCCUAUAACAAAAACACACCUGUGCAAAUUGAUGUGACUUACAAAACUGCCAUAUAUUGAAAUUGUUUGAGAAUAGAAAUGCAACUUUGGAAUAGAAUAGAGAGGGAGAGAAAAAAUUACCAAGAAAGUGUGAAAUUAUAAUAGUUAGCGUAUGUCAGAAAUCUUAAAGUAACAACUCUUGGGCAAUGAACCAGCAACAGAGGUAAAGUCUGUUUUAUUUGAUGAUGUCAUUAACUGAGCUCUCUGAUCUCUAUAUUCAUAUGUAGAGAAGGAACUGUCUUAGAAACCAGUGGUAUUUGUGAAUAUGCUUUUUAAAAAAAAAUGAUUUCAAACCAGGUUAUUUAAAAAUAUCUUUAAGAGCAUUUAAUUUCUUGUGCAAUAAACAAUUCAUAGAUAAGGAGUGGACUAAUGUUAUCUUGAUUUUUAAAAAAACAAUAAUUUGUAUUUAAGUGAUGUAAAUGUCUCUGAAUCAACCAAUAAGAUUGCUGUCAUUUUACUCUGGCAAACUGAUAUAUGGAGAGACUCCAUAUAGACCUGCUUUGCUGACCCCAUCCCACAUGCUCUAUUACGGGAGAAGCAAAAGGUGGGAGACUAGUUACAGCUUUUUUGAAUGUAGACAUCCUUUCUUUGGUAACAGAAGCCAUCCUUAGAGUAAGAAAGACAGGAUGAGAAAUCUGAAUGCCUUAGGUAAUAUUGAUCACUCUUGUGAGUCCUCAGCCUGCAGGCCUAGUAAAGAAGAAAAUUUUAAAAAGAGAGAAGAGGAAAAUGAUGAGACGAGGAAGGAAAAAAGUGUGUUGGAGGGGUGCAGAGAAAUUAAAAAACAGUAUUAAUAAGUGAAAGAGAAUGUUGUUUCAUUGUGAGGGCAGAUGGCCUUACUUGCUACACUCAUUUUGACUCCCUGUGUCUCCUGUACACCCCCAAACCUGAUAUCCAGAACAUACGGAUAUUUUCUUUCAUUCAUCAAUGAUGCAUAAGCUAGAUUUUAUUCAGCCUACGUAUUAUUUGAAAUGUGAUGUUACUGUGAAAUAUUGCCAAAACUGAGCUCCCUGGUUAGAUGAAUAGAGGAAAAAAGAGACAUUAAUUAAGUUAGGGGCAAGACUAAUGGUACGCCUGUAUAUAAAUGGAUAAGCUCAAACAUAUGAUCAGAUUUCAAUGUACAAUUUAAUAAGAUUUAAUCCAAGAUUUAAUAAUUCAGUGCUAGAGGACUCGGAAAUAAAUCUAACUCCCCACCGUUUAUUAAGCAACUACUAUGAGCCAGACACUGUGCCAGGGUUGGAGAUAUAGAGGUGAAUGAUACACAGUCCCUGUGAACUGCUCAAGCAGUUCACUGAUGAAGGAGGAACUCAGAGAUGUUUCGUUUUGUUUUUAAAGUAUUGAAAGCACCUGCAUUUCUCUUUUUCAAGCUAUGGGAUGGUUAUCAAACAUGUGUCUCCAGAAGUGUUUACAGCUAAGAAGAUGCACAAGGAGAAGGGAAGGUCUACUGACCUCGAUCUUAGAGGGGAAGCAGUGUACAUUCUGCUUUGCAACAUAUUUUAUACUUGGAAGCAUAAUAGCCACUGUCAUAGACAGCAAGUGUGGCCGGCCUUAGCUCAUUCCUGGGGCACAGAGAUUGUAGGGGAGGUAGGGAGACAAGUGCAAAUACAGAAUUCCUUCUCUCCCACUUCUCCAGCUUUCAUGUUCUUUUGUAGGGGAAAUCAGGCUAAUAUUAAUAUGAAGGAGAGCCUUGAAGGAGAAGCAGAAUCAGGAAAUCACAGCCUCUGAGUUGUAUAUAGUGUGGCCAAGGUUAGAAGGGCAACUUUCUUUAAUUUGCCUCGUGCUAGUGAGCUGCUUGAAUGAGCCUUGGAUUUCUUAACACCAGCUACGCAGCCAGCUCUUCCUUCCCUCCACUCUGAAUCACAGCCCAACCCCAGACUUUGCAGUCCACUGUAAGUGGAGGUUUUCGUUCUAAUUCUUCACCCUCCUAUCUCCCCCAGCAUUGAUGUUGAAUUGCUCAAAGAUACUAGGAAGAAAGCAACAAUUUGCAGUACUGGUUGAACUCUUUCGGGAAAUGGUUUCCAAAGUGUAUCAAACAAGAAUUCAUCAGUUUCUUGAUAUAAUGCUUUUUAAAACUAUUGUACUUAGUCAUCAAAUAAUUGACUACUAAGGUAAUCUUCACGUUUCUAGUGUUCAGUGUAAUAGUUAUCAUUUGUAUAUGUUUUGCUAAAGAAGAUACCUUAGAUUGGAAACAAUGAAAGAUUGUGUGCAAUCAAUGCAAGCAGUUCAUGAUUAUUAUGUAAUAGAGAAUUUUAAUUUACAUUUUCCCAUUCUCAAACUUCAUUUUAUACAUCAGCAAUGUGACAUGUUUCAGGUGUUUUUGUUUUUGUUUUAUUAAGUGGAUCAUGUCUAAAAGUUGUUACAUUCAUGGUUAAACAUUUUGAACAAAAUCUUCCUAUUAGCGUAGUUCUAUCUUUCCCCUGGGAUUAUUCUAUAGUUGGGUAGGAAAAGAACAUUCCUCUACAUUAGCACAUCUCAAAUCUUCUUGUGCACAGAAGUCACUGGAGAUCUUAUUGAAAUACAAAUUCCUUUUAGUAGAUCUGGGAUGGGGCCUGAGAGUCUGCAUUUCUCAAGUUUCCUAGGUGAUGUGGGUGCUACCAGUCUACCAACCACACUUUGGGUAGUAAAGCUCUACAUCACUUUGAAAAUCAAAAUAUACACUCAAGCCUGUAUUCUGAUUACUUUCAAAGAAUACGUGUUCGUGUCUCUCUUCUAUAGAAUUUUUUAAUCGAAAGAAAUGAAAGAUAAAGUUUCCAAACUGGUCACAAAUAUUAUAAUAUUUUAUAUAGCAAAAUACAUACAAAAUGAUUUCUCGUACAAAUUUUAUCUACAUCAAGCGCAAAAAAGGAACAUGGAUGUAGUCAUGUACCAUUCUUAUCAGUCAGGAAAUGACACAUGGCAAAUUUCUCUUCUUGGUUUUCUUUCCAUUGAUUAUACCCAGAUAAGUGAGCUCUAUUUGUUAACACUAGAGCACAGAUGAAAUUUUGUUCACAGUUAAGAAGAAUUUGGCAAGUUCUUGCUUGGCCGAACCUGAGAAGACGUUAUAAAAACAUUCUAUAUUAAAUUCAGACUUGUGGGUGAAAGCAUGGGCUGAACAAUUUGGUAAACAUAAGCUGAAAAAUGGCACCUGGAUCUUCAACUUCUUGUUUUGAACUCUUUCUUGAGCUUUAUUCCAUAAGAGAUCCUCCCCUUGCUAUGGACUCAUUGUUUCUCUUUAGUUGUCAGUGUCUAAGUAAGGGGUGGAGGAUUGGUGUAAAUGAGGGAGUUGCACAAAUUGUCUAAUUUGAGCAUGCCAAGUGAUUUUUGUCAGGCUCUCCUUUGGUCAUAAAUUGUUGAUAUAGAUAUUGUGAAAUAUAGUGUCAUAAAUUUGUCAUAAGCCAUUAAUGAAGGGGAAAAAAGCAGAAAUUUAGUUCUGUGGGAAUGCACCCAAAUAUCAAGCAGAUGGUGUUCUACAACAUUUAUUUGGGAAACUGUGUAUCUGUUACAUAAUCUAAAAUAUGUCAUUUUCACAUUUAAAAAUAUUUGGGUCAUGAUUUAGAGUUUUUAUUGGAUUGUUUUUUAAACUG